This 253-nucleotide ribosomal RNA is filed under the name uncultured bacterium. Its description in RNAcentral is "partial 16S ribosomal RNA". It matches the Rfam family "Bacterial small subunit ribosomal RNA", at positions 524 to 776 of the family's 1533-position model. The record is from RNAcentral.
UACGAAGGGUGCAAGCGUUACUCGGAAUUACUGGGCGUAAAGCGUGCGUAGGUGGUUCGUUAAGUCUGCCGUGAAAGCCCCGGGCUCAACCUGGGAAUGGCGGUGGAUACUGGCGGACUAGAGUGCGGUAGAGGGUGGUGGAAUUCCCGGUGUAGCAGUGAAAUGCGUAGAGAUCGGGAGGAACACCGGUGGCGAAGGCGGCUUUCUGGACAGUAACCGACGCUGAGGCACGAAAGCUAGGGGAGCAAACAGG